GAUGCCCCCAGUAGCGGCGAGCGAACGGGGAGCAGCCCAGAGCCUGAAUCAGUGUGUGUGUUAGUGGAAGCGUCUGGAAAGGCGUGCGAUACAGGGUGACAGCCCCGUACACAAAAAUGCACAUGCUGUGAGCUCGAUGAGUAGGGCGGGACACGUGGUAUCCUGUCUGAAUAUGGGGGGACCAUCCUCCAAGGCUAAAUACUCCUGACUGACCGAUAGUGAACCAGUACCGUGAGGGAAAGGCGAAAAGAACCCCGGCGAGGGGAGUGAAAAAGAACCUGAAACCGUGUACGUACAAGCAGUGGGAGCACGCUUAGGCGUGUGACUGCGUACCUUUUGUAUAAUGGGUCAGCGACUUAUAUUCUGUAGCAAGGUUAACCGAAUAGGGGAGCCGAAGGGAAACCGAGUCUUAACUGGGCGUUAAGUUGCAGGGUAUAGACCCGAAACCCGGUGAUCUAGCCAUGGGCAGGUUGAAGGUUGGGUAACACUAACUGGAGGACCGAACCGACUAAUGUUGAAAAAUUAGCGGAUGACUUGUGGCUGGGGGUGAAAGGCCAAUCAAACCGGGAGAUAGCUGGUUCUCCCCGAAAGCUAUUUAGGUAGCGCCUCGUGAAUUCAUCUCCGGGGGUAGAGCACUGUUUCGGCAAGGGGGUCAUCCCGACUUACCAACCCGAUGCAAACUGCGAAUACCGGAGAAUGUUAUCACGGGAGACACACGGCGGGUGCUAACGUCCGUCGUGAAGAGGGAAACAACCCAGACCGCCAGCUAAGGUCCCAAAGUCAUGGUUAAGUGGGAAACGAUGUGGGAAGGCCCAGACAGCCAGGAUGUUGGCUUAGAAGCAGCCAUCAUUUAAAGAAAGCGUAAUAGCUCACUGGUCGAGUCGGCCUGCGCGGAAGAUGUAACGGGGCUAAACCAUGCACCGAAGCUGCGGCAGCGACGCUUAUGCGUUGUUGGGUAGGGGAGCGUUCUGUAAGCCUGUGAAGGUGUACUGUGAGGUAUGCUGGAGGUAUCAGAAGUGCGAAUGCUGACAUAAGUAACGAUAAAGCGGGUGAAAAGCCCGCUCGCCGGAAGACCAAGGGUUCCUGUCCAACGUUAAUCGGGGCAGGGUGAGUCGACCCCUAAGGCGAGGCCGAAAGGCGUAGUCGAUGGGAAACAGGUUAAUAUUCCUGUACUUGGUGUUACUGCGAAGGGGGGACGGAGAAGGCUAUGUUGGCCGGGCGACGGUUGUCCCGGUUUAAGCGUGUAGGCUGGUUUUCCAGGCAAAUCCGGAAAAUCAAGGCUGAGGCGUGAUGACGAGGCACUACGGUGCUGAAGCAACAAAUGCCCUGCUUCCAGGAAAAGCCUCUAAGCAUCAGGUAACAUCAAAUCGUACCCCAAACCGACACAGGUGGUCAGGUAGAGAAUACCAAGGCGCUUGAGAGAACUCGGGUGAAGGAACUAGGCAAAAUGGUGCCGUAACUUCGGGAGAAGGCACGCUGAUAUGUAGGUGAAGUCCCUCGCGGAUGGAGCUGAAAUCAGUCGAAGAUACCAGCUGGCUGCAACUGUUUAUUAAAAACACAGCACUGUGCAAACACGAAAGUGGACGUAUACGGUGUGACGCCUGCCCGGUGCCGGAAGGUUAAUUGAUGGGGUUAGCGCAAGCGAAGCUCUUGAUCGAAGCCCCGGUAAACGGCGGCCGUAACUAUAACGGUCCUAAGGUAGCGAAAUUCCUUGUCGGGUAAGUUCCGACCUGCACGAAUGGCGUAAUGAUGGCCAGGCUGUCUCCACCCGAGACUCAGUGAAAUUGAACUCGCUGUGAAGAUGCAGUGUACCCGCGGCAAGACGGAAAGACCCCGUGAACCUUUACUAUAGCUUGACACUGAACAUUGAGCCUUGAUGUGUAGGAUAGGUGGGAGGCUUUGAAGUGUGGACGCCAGUCUGCAUGGAGCCGACCUUGAAAUACCACCCUUUAAUGUUUGAUGUUCUAACGUUGACCCGUAAUCCGGGUUGCGGACAGUGUCUGGUGGGUAGUUUGACUGGGGCGGUCUCCUCCUAAAGAGUAACGGAGGAGCACGAAGGUUGGCUAAUCCUGGUCGGACAUCAGGAGGUUAGUGCAAUGGCAUAAGCCAGCUUGACUGCGAGCGUGACGGCGCGAGCAGGUGCGAAAGCAGGUCAUAGUGAUCCGGUGGUUCUGAAUGGAAGGGCCAUCGCUCAACGGAUAAAAGGUACUCCGGGGAUAACAGGCUGAUACCGCCCAAGAGUUCAUAUCGACGGCGGUGUUUGGCACCUCGAUGUCGGCUCAUCACAUCCUGGGGCUGAAGUAGGUCCCAAGGGUAUGGCUGUUCGCCAUUUAAAGUGGUACGCGAGCUGGGUUUAGAACGUCGUGAGACAGUUCGGUCCCUAUCUGCCGUGGGCGCUGGAGAACUGAGGGGGGCUGCUCCUAGUACGAGAGGACCGGAGUGGACGCAUCACUGGUGUUCGGGUUGUCAUGCCAAUGGCACUGCCCGGUAGCUAAAUGCGGAAGAGAUAAGUGCUGAAAGCAUCUAAGCACGAAACUUGCCCCGAGAUGAGUUCUCCCUGACUCCUUGAGAGUCCUGAAGGAACGUUGAAGACGACGACGUUGAUAGGCCGGGUGUGUAAGCGCAGCGAUGCGUUGAGCUAACCGGUACUAAUGAACCGUGAGGCUUAACCUUACAACGCCGAAG
This 2685-nucleotide ribosomal RNA is filed under the name Escherichia coli. Its description in RNAcentral is "bacterial LSU rRNA". It matches the Rfam family "Bacterial large subunit ribosomal RNA". The record is from RNAcentral. Lineage: Bacteria; Pseudomonadati; Pseudomonadota; Gammaproteobacteria; Enterobacterales; Enterobacteriaceae.